Molecule: ribosomal RNA, 439 nt
Filed under: Providencia vermicola
Lineage: Bacteria; Pseudomonadati; Pseudomonadota; Gammaproteobacteria; Enterobacterales; Morganellaceae
Description: bacterial SSU rRNA
Rfam family: Bacterial small subunit ribosomal RNA
Source: RNAcentral
UUUGGGCGCAGCCUGAUGCAGCCAUGCCGCGUGUAUGAAGAAGGCCCUAGGGUUGUAAAGUACUUUCAGUCGGGAGGAAGGCGUUGAUGCUAAUAUCAUCAACGAUUGACGUUACCGACAGAAGAAGCACCGGCUAACUCCGUGCCAGCAGCCGCGGUAAUACGGAGGGUGCAAGCGUUAAUCGGAAUUACUGGGCGUAAAGCGCACGCAGGCGGUUGAUUAAGUUAGAUGUGAAAUCCCCGGGCUUAACCUGGGAAUGGCAUCUAAGACUGGUCAGCUAGAGUCUUGUAGAGGGGGGUAGAAUUCCAUGUGUAGCGGUGAAAUGCGUAGAGAUGUGGAGGAAUACCGGUGGCGAAGGCGGCCCCCUGGACAAAGACUGACGCUCAGGUGCGAAAGCGUGGGGAGCAAACAGGAUUAGAUACUGGGGGGGUAGUUCAGA